Molecule: ribosomal RNA, 377 nt
Filed under: uncultured bacterium
Lineage: Bacteria
Description: partial 16S ribosomal RNA
Rfam family: Bacterial small subunit ribosomal RNA
Source: RNAcentral
AUACGUAGGUGGCGAGCGUUGUCCGGAAUUACUGGGUGUAAAGGGCGUGUAGGCGGCCUUUCAAGUCGGCUGUGAAAUACCCCGGCUCAACCGGGGGGGUGCAGUCGAAACUGGGGGGCUUGAGUGCAGGAGAGGGGGGUGGAAUUCCCGGUGGAGCGGUGAUAUGCGUAGAUAUCGGGAGGAACACCGGUGGCGAAGGGGACCUUCUGGCCUGUUACUGACGCUGAGGCGCGAAAGCCGGGGGAGCAAACAGGAUUAGAUACCCUGGUAGUCCCGGCCGUAAACGCUGGGUACUAGGUGUAGGGGGCUUUGAUGCCUUCUGUGCCGUAGUUAACGCAUUAAGUACCCCGCCUGGGGAGUACGAUCGCAAGGUUGAA